CCUACGGGAGGCAGCAGUAGGGAAUAUUGCUCAAUGGGGGAAACCCUGAAGCAGCAACGCCGCGUGGAGGAUGAAGGUUUUCGGAUUGUAAACUCCUUUUGUUAGAGAAGAUAAUGACGGUAUCUAACGAAUAAGCACUGGCUAACUCCGUGCAAGCACCCGCGGUAAUACGGAGGGUGCAAGCGUUACUCGGAAGCACUGGGCGUAAAGAGGGCGUAGGCGGGAUAGCAAGUCAGAUGUGAAAUCCUAUGGCUUAACCAUAGAACUGCAUUUGAAACUGUUAAUCUAGAGUAUGGGAGAGGUAGGUGGAAUGCUUGGUGUAGGGGUAAAAUCCGUAGAGAUCAAGAAGAACACUCAUUGCGAAGGCGACCUGCUAGAACGUAACUGACGCUGAUGCGCGAAAGCGUGGGGAGCGAACAGGAUUAGAUACCCGAGUAGUC
RNAcentral lists this ribosomal RNA (440 nucleotides) under uncultured bacterium. RNAcentral describes it as "partial 16S ribosomal RNA". It matches the Rfam family "Bacterial small subunit ribosomal RNA", at positions 338 to 795 of the family's 1533-position model. The record is from RNAcentral.